Long non-coding RNA from Oncorhynchus nerka (sockeye salmon), 1810 nucleotides. RefSeq lists it as uncharacterized. Lineage: Eukaryota; Metazoa; Chordata; Actinopteri; Salmoniformes; Salmonidae. The record is from RefSeq and is a predicted model, not a curated record. The transcript is spliced from 2 exons.
UGUACCAAAGAAGGCAAAGAUAACUGAACUAAAUGACCAAUGCCCCGUAGCACUCACUUCUGUCAUCAUAAAGUGCUUUGAGAGACCAGUCAAGGAUCAUAUCACCUCCACCUUACCUGCCACCCUAGACCCACUUCAGGUUGCAUACCACCCCAAUAGGUCCACAGAUGAUGCAAUCGCCAUCACACUGCACACUGCCCUAUCCCAUCUGGACAAGAGGAAUACCUAUGUAAGAAUGCUGUUCAUUGACUACAGAUCAGCAUUCAACACCAUAGUACCCUCCAAGCUCAUCAUUAAGCUUAAAGCCCUGGGUCUCAACCCCGCCCUGUGCAAUUGGGUCCUGGACUUUCUGACGGGCCACCCCCAGGUGGUGAAGGUAGGAAACAGCCUCUCCACUUCACUGAUCCUCAACACUGGUGCCCCACAAGAGUGUGAGGUCAGUACAGGUGCAUCAAAGCUGGGACUGAGAGACUGAAAAACAGCUUCUGUCUCAAGGCCAUCAGACUGUUAAACAGCCAUCACUAACAUAGAGAGGCUACUGCCAACAUACAGACCCAUAUCACUGGCCACUUUAAUAAAUGGAUUUAGUAAAGGUAUCACUAUUCACUUUAAACAAUGCCACUUUAAUAAUGUUACAUAUCCUACAUUACUCAUCUUGUAUGCAUAUACUGCGUUUCAUACCAUCUAUUGCAUCUUGCCUAUGCCGCACGGUCGUUGCUCAUAUUACUGCACUGUCGGAACUAGAAGCACACACAUUUCACUACACUCGCAUUAACAUCUGCCAACCAUGUGUAUGUGACAAAUAACAUUUGAUUUGAUUUAUUUGUUAGGGACAGAUGGCCUACAUAUCAACAGCUUUGCCCAAUGGGUCCAGCCGCAGGUUCAGCCUGGAAAGCCUCUCCUGUACAAUUUCUAUAAGGCACAGCCUACACACACACCGCCAAGUUACCCGAUGGAGCCUAUACACAUUGAUCCUCCAUACACAUCCAGGUGGUUCAUUGGGCUGGUGCCUAGUGGGAACAAAAUUUCCUUUUCAGAGGGAAGCGAGAUAUACACUUUUCCAGAUGUUGGUCUAAGAUUUAUCUUCACUACAUUAUCGGAUAAAAUAUAGGCUAUUAUAUUGUAUAGGUUUACCUGCUGACAGCGUAGCCUACUGGCAAUACCAUUUUCCCAUUGGAAUAAAGUUUAGAUCAUUCCGGAUAUCGAUGCUGGCUUGCAGUAACCUACUAUUCGAACAAGUCACAACUUACCAUAGAUGUUUAGGUCUAGUUAGGACUAAUUGUUUGUGAAUAACACCCACUGUCUCCCGAUCCAUACAGGCAUGUAUCCUGGUCCAUCUACUAUCCAGCUUGUUCUCACCUCAGUGUCAGCAGUCUUGAACCGGGUGCGAGGAUGCUGUGGCCAUUAUUGGAGACGUUACACCUCAGAAGAGGAUACGCUAUCUCGUCCUGUAAGAGAAACCCAACCAGCACCUCUCUCCAGCUCUGUGAGAUCCUGGGUUUGGGAUGUUCAUCAUGACCUAUGGUUGAACUGACGAAACUGAGCUCUGGGUUUUUUAGAUAAGACAGUGAGUGCAUUCCUAGGUUUUCUGUUAAUUAGAACUGUCAGCUAAGUGGUGAUCGAUAAUGUUGAGGGGUCAAAAGUUACCUGGGAGUGUGUUAGUAAGUUAGAAUGAACUUUUCACCUCACUUUGUCCCUGUCGAGAGGAGGGGUUUCUGUUAAGCAAUGAAAUGACGUCAUGUUUUGUAUAUAAACUGUUGCUCGUGAUGAAGUGGCAGCACGCUCCGAGAAUAAAUUAUGUUACCUAUUA